AUGAUAUGGAAACUUGGAAGCCACGAUAUACAUCCAAAAUUAAAAGAAAAUGAAAAGAUUAUAAUUAUAUUUCCGCCUUUUUUGUAUUAUUUUCAAAAAUUUAAAGAACAAAGACAUAAUUUCAAGAUACAUGAAAUUACAACACGAUUUAAAUAUAUAAAAUUUAUAAAAUUAUAAUUAUUCAUCAUAAGCUAUAUUGUUUAUAUUUUUUGAUAUUUCAAAAAAUAUUAUUUAGGAUUACUUUUUGAGAAUGGACUUAAAAAUGAUUUAUCAUAUCCUCUGAUAAACCUCUACAAAGUUUGUGCAUAUUUUGUUAAUGCAUUUAAAAAUUGUUCCAGAAAUUAUUCUCUGCUCGUUAGAACUCAUCAAUGAGGAUGGACAAUUUUCAUCAGUUUCACAUGGUUGCCCCUCUUAGUGAAAAAUAGAAUAAAAUUUUUUAGUGAAACAUGAAGAAAGAUAUUGUAAGAAUUAUAACAUAAAAUAAAUAAUAAUUAAGAAGCAAAAAUGAUUUACCGCAAUCCCCGGAUGAAAGAAGGAAUAGGGAAAAAAAUAAAAUUAUAGCAUAAAUAAAUUUGAGAACUUUUGUCAUUUUUUCUCUCUUUCUUGUUAGAAGUAAAAAGAGAGUUGAUCAAUUUAUAGUGUGUAAAUCCAAUGUAAUGUUUAAAACAAUUAAAUAUUUUAAGCCCUAAAGUAUAAAAUAUAUUUUAAUUGUCCCUUUUUCACGUUUAACAUGCGUCUCUUAAGCAUAUUUAGCAAAGGGGGUAAGAAACAAAUACUUUAUAAUCUUUAGAUUUAUUUAAAAGUAAUUUUACAUCAUUUGGUGAUUGAAAGGACAUGUUUUUUAUUUUAUUCUUUUAGAUCUCUGUGAUUCGGAUAAUUUUUAAUCAUUAAAAAUCGCCCAAAACGCACCACGAACAACUUUAUAUAGAAGAAAUUACAUUAUACACAAAUAUGAUCUUAUUUCCUUAAUAUCCAAUAAUUUUAUAAAAGAAAUCAUCGUUAUGUUUAACUCGUAUACAUUACAACUAUAUCUCUCAACUCUACAUUUAUAUAUAUAUAUAUAUAUUAUAUUAUAUAUAUUAUAUAUUAUAUAUAUAUAUAUAUAUAUAUAUACUAUAUAUAUCAUAUAUAUAUAUAUAUAUAUAUAUAUAUAUUAUAUAUUAUAUAUAUUAUGAUAUAUAUAUAUAUUAUAUAUAUAAUAUAUAUAUAUAUAUAUAUAUUUUAGAUCAAUCUUCUAAGAAUAAAAUAAAAAAACAUGUCCUUUCAAUCACAAUGUGUAAAAUUACUUUUAAACUAAUCUAAAGAUUAUAAAGUAUUUUGUUCUUACCCCUUUGCUAAUAUGCUUAAGAGACGCAUGUUUAAACGUGAAGAAAGGGACAAUUAAAAUUAUUUUAUACUUUAGGGCUUAAAAUAUUAAUUGUUUUAAUACAUUACAUUGGAUUUACCACCUAUAAAUGAUCAACUCCUUUACUUCUAACAGAAAGAAAAAAAUGACAAAAGUUCUCAAAUUUAUGCUAUAAUUUUAUUUUUUUUCCCUAUUCCUUCUUUCAUCCAUUGCGGUUAAAUCAUUUUGCUUCUUAAUUAUUUAUUUUGUUAGUUUAAUUCUUACAAUAUCUUCUCAUGUUUCACUAAAAAUUUUAUUCUUAUUUUUCACUAGAGGGGGCAAACCAUGUGAACACUGAUGAAAAUUGUUCCAUCCUCCAUUGAUGAGUCGUAACGAGCAGAGAAUAAUUUCCGGGAACGAAUUUUUUAAAAUGCAUUUACAAAAUAUGCACAAACUUUGUACAGGUUUAUCAGAGGAUAUGAUAAAUCAUUUUUAAGUCC
This 1824-nucleotide long non-coding RNA is filed under the name Lathyrus oleraceus (garden pea). RNAcentral describes it as "Pisum sativum (pea) long non-coding RNA (PSAT_LNC021900)". The record is from RNAcentral. Lineage: Eukaryota; Viridiplantae; Streptophyta; Magnoliopsida; Fabales; Fabaceae.